AGAGUUUGAUCCUGGCUCAGAAUCAAACGCUGGCGGCGAGAAGAACACAGGCAAGUCGCGCGCGAAAGGGGGGCAACCCCCGAGUAGAGCGGCGAACGGGUGAGUAACGCGUGGGUGAUCUGCCUCCGAGUGGGGAAUAACCCCGGGAAACUGGGGCUAAUACCGCAUGACAUCCUCGAGUCGAAUUGGGGAUCAAAGCCGGGGACCGCAAGGCCUGGCGCUUGGAGAUGAGCCCGCGUCCUAUUAGCUAGUUGGUAGGGUAAUGGCCUACCAAGGCAAUGAUGGGUACUGGGUGUGAGAGCACGACCCAGCUCACUGGGACUGAGACACUGCCCAGACACCUACGGGUGGCUGCAGUCGAGAAUCUUCGGCAAUGGGCGAAAGCCUGACCGAGCGACGCCGCGUGUGGGAUGAAGGCCUUCGGGUUGUAAACCGCUGUCAGAGGGGAGGAAUGGGCGGAGGGUAAUCUCUUCGUUUUGACCUAUCCUCAGAGGAAGUACGGGCUAAGUUCGUGCCAGCAGCCGCGGUAAGACGAACCGUACAAACGUUAUUCGGAAUCACUGGGCUUAAAAGGGUGCGUAGGCGGCGCUGAAAGUUGGGUGUGAAAUCCCCUCGGCUCAACCGAGGAACUGCGCCCAAAACUACAGUGCUUGAGGGAGAUAGAGGUGAGCGGAACUUAGGGUGGAGCGGUGAAAUG
Molecule: ribosomal RNA, 697 nt
Filed under: uncultured Planctomycetota bacterium
Lineage: Bacteria; Pseudomonadati; Planctomycetota
Description: bacterial SSU rRNA
Rfam family: Bacterial small subunit ribosomal RNA
Source: RNAcentral